GGAGCCUACGGGAGGCAACAGUGGGGAAUGUUUUCCAACCGAAGCAAGCCUGAGGCAGCGACGCCGCGCGAGGGAAGAAGGCCUUCCGUUUGUAAGCCUCUUUCAUUAGGGAGGAAGCGAAAGUGACGGUACCUGCAGAAGAAGCACCGGCUAACUACGUGCCAGCAGCCGCGGUAAUACGUAGGGUGCAAGCGUUGUCCGGAAUUAUUGGGCGUAAAGAGCUCGUAGGCGGUUUGUCAAGUCGGGUGUGAAAUCCCCGGGCUCAACCUCGGGCGUGCAUUGGAUACGGGCAGACUAGAGUACGUCAGGGGAGACUGGAAUUCCUGGUGUAGCGGUGAAAUGCGCAGAUAUCAG
This 354-nucleotide ribosomal RNA is filed under the name uncultured bacterium. RNAcentral describes it as "bacterial SSU rRNA". It matches the Rfam family "Bacterial small subunit ribosomal RNA", at positions 334 to 700 of the family's 1533-position model. The record is from RNAcentral.